Molecule: transfer RNA, 73 nt
Filed under: Ailuropoda melanoleuca (giant panda)
Lineage: Eukaryota; Metazoa; Chordata; Mammalia; Carnivora; Ursidae
Rfam family: tRNA
About the family: Transfer RNA (tRNA) molecules are approximately 80 nucleotides in length. Their secondary structure includes four short double-helical elements and three loops (D, anti-codon, and T loops).
Source: Rfam by way of RNAcentral
ACCUGGCUAGCUCAGUCAGUAGAGCAUGGGACUCUUAAUCUCAGGAUUGUGAUUUUGAGCCCCACAUUGGGUG